GCGGUGAAAUGCGUAGAGAUCGGGNGUGAGANANCAGUGGGCCGAAGGCGGCCCUUCUGGACUGACACUGACACUGAAGGUGCGAAAGCGUGGGUAGCAAACACCGAUUAAAUACCCUGGUAGUCCACGCCGUAAACGAUGUCAACUAGCCGUUGGGUCCCUUGAGGACUUAGUGGCGCAGCUAACGCAAUAAGUUGACCGCCUGGGGAGUACGGCCGCAAGGUUAAAACUCAAAUGAAUUGACGGGGGCCCGCACAAGCGGUGGAGCAUGUGGUUUAAUUCGAUGCAACGCGAAGAACCUUACCUACCCUUGACAUCCAGAGGACUUUCCAGAGAUGGAUUGGUGCCUUCGGGAACUCUGAGACAGGUGCUGCAUGGCUGUCGUCAGCUCGUGUUGUGAAAUGUUGGGUUAAGUCCCGUAACGAGCGCAACCCCUAUCCUUAUUUGCCAGCGAGUAAUGUCGGGAACUCUAAGGAGACUGCCGGUGACAAACCGGAGGAAAGGUGGGGACGACGUCAAGUCAUCAUGGCCCUUACGGGUAGGGCUACACACGUGCUACAAUGGCAAGUACAAAGGGUUGCAAUACGGCGACGUGGAGCCAAUCCCAUAAAGCUUGCCUCAGUCCGGAUUGGAGUCUGCAACUCGACUCCAUGAAGUCGGAAUCGCUAGUAAUCGUGGAUCAGAAUGCCACGGUGAAUACGUUCCCGGGCCUUGUACACACCGCCCGUCACACCAUGGGAGUGGACUGCACC
Molecule: ribosomal RNA, 752 nt
Filed under: uncultured Cobetia sp.
Lineage: Bacteria; Pseudomonadati; Pseudomonadota; Gammaproteobacteria; Oceanospirillales; Halomonadaceae
Description: bacterial SSU rRNA
Rfam family: Bacterial small subunit ribosomal RNA
Source: RNAcentral